UACAGAGGGUGCAAGCGUUGUUCGGAAUUAUUGGGCGUAAAGGGCGCGUAGGCGGUGCGGUAAGUCUGUAGUGAAAUCUCUGGGCUCAACUCAGAGUCUGCUGCAGAAACUGCCGUGCUUGAGUGUGGGAGAGGUGAGUGGAAUUCCUGGUGUAGUGGUGAAAUGCGUAGAGAUCAGGAGGAACACCGGUGGCGAAGGCGGCCCACUGGGCAGUCACUGACGCUGAGGCGCGAAAGCUCGGGGAGCGAACGGG
Molecule: ribosomal RNA, 253 nt
Filed under: uncultured bacterium
Lineage: Bacteria
Description: partial 16S ribosomal RNA
Rfam family: Bacterial small subunit ribosomal RNA
Source: RNAcentral